Etheostoma spectabile (orangethroat darter) is the source of this 673-nucleotide long non-coding RNA. RefSeq lists it as uncharacterized. The transcript has 4 exons. The record is from RefSeq and is a predicted model, not a curated record. NCBI's taxonomy places the organism in Eukaryota, Metazoa, Chordata, Actinopteri, Perciformes, Percidae.
AGAGUAGACGCCGCAUUGGCAGCUCAGCGCGAGAAAUUCAACCGCCAUCUUGGACCGGUCAUACUCGUUGCUUAGCAGCAGAAGACACAAGAUGCCAGAGCACUGUGCAGCAUAUUCCUGUUCAAAUCGGCGGACCAUUGAAAACAGGGCUCGGGGGAUUACUUUUCACAAUAAGGUGCUGAGAGCUGCAGAGAAGGUGAUCCGCCGAGCUUCGACAAUGUGUCAACAGUCACACACAUCGUACGGGAGGAGGUUGGAACGGAGGACGUUUUUCUGCUUGAGGAACACAUUGAGGAGACACAGUUUGGCAUCGACAACCAUCAUUCUGACUUGUUGUCAUUGGUUGUGUCUGUGUUUUUCAAAAUAAGGCUGCACCACAUUGCAAAACUCACCUCUCUUGAACUGCAGAAAGGGAGCACGAGAAAGAAGCUCUGCAAAACAGUCCUCUUUCAGGGGUUUUAGCGAGCGGUGUACGGUUUACUGUAAAUCUGUUUGUUUGUUUGUGUUUCAUCAACUCUUUGUGCUUGUGAUUGCAUUUUAUCUCAUCGCUUUCACUCUGGGGAGAUUCAACCAAGUAAAUGUGCAGUUUAAAUAAAAACUGCCACUUUUCAUUUCAUCCUGCUACUUUAAACAAGUACUGGUACGCACACACAGACACACACACAGACACACA